GAUCGGAGCCUGGAGCCGGUGUGUGCUGGGUGCCGAGAAGAGACAGCGCCGCCGGCCGUGGGGAGCGGACGCAGUGAUUUGCUCCCCCUCGUGCAGCAACCCCCACACCCAGCACCAGGCCCCCAGAACUCUCCUUCCAGCUGAACUCCCUGGGAACAAGUCAGUUGGGCUGAUCACUGAACUCACAUUUCUGGACCUGAGGAGCCUGUUCCUCUCACGCCCUCACCUGGCUGAGCCGCAGUAGUUCUUCAGUGGCAAGCUUUAUGUCCUGACCCAGCUAAAGCUGCCAGUUGAAGAACUGUUGCCCUCUGCCCCUGGCUUCGAGGAGGAGGAGGAGCUGCUUUCCCCAUCAUCUGGAAGGUGACAGAAAUGGGCUGGGAAGGUCCGAACAGCAGGGUGGAUGAUACGUUUUGGGCAAGUUGGAGAGCCUUUGCCCAGAUUGGCCCAGCAAGGAGCGGUUUUAGAUUAGAGACACUGGCUGGAUUGAGGAGUAGAAGGCUCAAACAACCCAAGCCCUGAUCCAUUCUCACCUAGCGGCUACAGGAAGCUGUGUCUGUUCGAUUUGGUGGGAGGAGAUGUGCAGGGAGCUGUAUCUUGUCCUCCGCUUGUGAAAAACUCAAGGAUGUGGAGAAGAGUAGACCGUGGAACCCUGCUCUUCUGCAGCCAAGCUGAGGGGCAGGAUGCGUGUGGGACAGUGGUAGAGAAGCAGGGGAUAGACUCAUAGGCUGCAACAAAGGUGACUCUGUCCCUGGACACUGCCUCCGUACUUUCUCCUUGCUUCACUGGCCACAGCAUCUCCCUCCAGCCCUCGCUAUGUGCCUCUGCCAUCUUCACCCAUCAUGGAGCAGAGGUGAGGAGAGGCAGCCUGGGAAUAUGGAGACCAGUGAAGGACCAGGCCUGGAGAGCACAGGGUCCUACCUGGGCAUCCAGCAGAGGAGCCCCUAAAGGCCAGGAGCACCCCAAGAGGAGGGAGGGCAGCCAGCCUCCAUUGACGGCGAGCCUCCAGCCCUCUCCUACUUUGAUCACCAUUUCUCUCCAGGCUUUCUGCCUCCGAGAUGUGGCACCAUAGUGCGGUGCCCUGUGGCUUCACCGCCCUACUUCCACCUCCGCCCAGCCUGUAAUGUUUAUAUAAGCAGCCUCAAGGACCAAGAACCAUCUGCGAAAGGACACACACAGGAAAUUCAUAAAAGAAAUCUGAAUGGAUAAAACCAUGAAAAAAAGUAUGCUUCAUUAGUAAUUAAAGAAAGGCAAAUAGAGCUGGAAGCAUUUUUCCCUUAGCAAACCAUAACAGAAAAAAAUAAGACCCAAUAUUGGCAAAGAGACUACUGAAAAAACAUUCCCAUACAUUGCGUGUGGGAGUAUACAUCGGUGCAGGCUUCCUGGAUGACAGUUGGGUGAUAUGUGUCAUGUGGCCUAAAAGCCUCCAUGUCAUUUGACCUACGAAUUCUAUCUUUGGGAAUUUAUCCUAAGAAAAUACUUAAGGAUUUAGUUAGUGAUAAGAUGUUCAUCCCAGCAUUGCAAUGGAGAAAAAUGGGAAGCAAUGGUUUGGUUGGGAAUUUAUUCCUUUUCUGCUGUAACGAAAGUUUGCAAUAGGGGAUUGCUUAAGUAAAUUAUUGUAUCUCCAUCCAGAUGGUGGAGUACCGCGCAGACAUUAAAAGUCAUGUAAAAGAACAUCUGACUGAAAGAAAAAUGCUCCUUGAAUAUUAAAAGGUUGUAAAAAUAGUGCAUGUUAUGUGAUUUCAAUUUUGUUUUUUAAAAUAUGGGUGUAUGCUUGUAUACGUAGAGCAGAUAAAAAAGACGGAAGGCAUACUAAAAAAUGUUGAGUGGUUAUCUUUGUAUGGUGGAACAAAGUCACUGUAAUUUUCAUCUUUGGUUUUUCUGUAAUUUCCAAAUUUUCCACAUUUUGUAUUUCAUAUAAUA
Long non-coding RNA from Homo sapiens (human), 1920 nucleotides. Ensembl annotates it as MIR22 host gene. Its record names the gene MIR22HG. The record is from Ensembl. Lineage: Eukaryota; Metazoa; Chordata; Mammalia; Primates; Hominidae.